UCAAGCUACAAAGGGCUCACGGCGGAUACCUUGGCACACAGAGGCGAUGAAGGACGUGGUUACCUGCGAUAAGUCUCGGGGAGCUGGAAACACGCUUUGAUCCGGGAAUUUCCGAAUGGGGCAACCCCUAGAACGGCCAGCUGAAUCUAUAGGCUGGCGCGAGCCAACCCAGCGAACUGAAACAUCUUAGUAGCUGGAGGAAAGGAAAGUAAAAACGACUCCCUAAGUAGCGGCGAGCGAACGGGGAAGAGCCUAAACCGAUACUUUCGAGUAUCGGGGUUGUGGGACAGCAACGUGUAUCAGGGAAGUUAGGAGAAGUGCUUGAAUGGCACGCCACAGAGGGUGAAAGCCCCGUAACCGAAAACUGAACUGAGCUAGCUGUAUCCCGAGUAGCACGGAGCACGUGAAAUUCCGUGUGAAUCUGCGAGGACCACCUCGUAAGGCUAAGUACUCCUGUGUGACCGAUAGCGCAACAGUACCGCGAGGGAAAGGUGAAAAGAACCCCGGGAGGGGAGUGAAAUAGAACAUGAAACCGUGAGCUUACAAGCAAUGGGAGCCCUACUCAUAGGGUGACCGUGUGCCUGUUGAAGAAUGAGCCGGCGACUUAUAGGCACUGGCGGGUUAAACCGGAAAUGGUGGAGCCAUAGCGAAAGCGAGUCUGAAUAGGGCGUUUGUCAGUGUUUAUAGACCCGAACCCGGGUGAUCUAACCAUGGCCAGGAUGAAGCUUGGGUGAUACCAAGUGGAGGUCCGAACCGACUGAUGUUGAAAAAUCAGCGGAUGAGCUGUGGUUAGGGGUGAAAUGCCAAUCGAACCCGGAGCUAGCUGGUUCUCCCCGAAAUACGUUGAGGCGUAGCGUCUCGUGCUCCAGCAGGGGGGUAAAGCCACCAUUUCGGUGCGGGCUGCGAGAGCGGUACCAAAUCGAGAUGAACUCUGAAUACCCUGUGUGUAGCGAGGCAGUCAGACUGUGGGGGAUAAGCUCCAUGGUCGAGAGGGAAACAGCCCAGACCGCCAGCUAAGGUCCCCAAAUCAACACUAAGUGAUAAAGGAGGUGGGAUUGCCGAGACAACCAGGAGGUUUGCCUAGAAGCAGCCAUCCUCAAAGGAGUGCGUAAUAGCUCACUGGUCGAGCGAUCCUGCGCCGAAAAUGAACGGGGCUAAGUGUUGUACCGAAGCUGCGGAUUAAACUUGUUUAAUGGUAGGGGAGCGUUCUAUGUGGGGUGAAGCGUUAGCGUAAGCGGGCGUGGACUGCAUAGAAGUGAGAAUGUCGGCUUGAGUAGCGAAAAAAUGGGUGAGAAUCCCAUUCCCCGAAACCCUAAGGGUUCCUCCGGCAGGCUCGUCCGCGGAGGGUUAGUCAGGACCUAAGGCGAGGCCGAAAGGCGUAGUCGAUGGAUAACAGGUCAACAUUCCUGUACCGGUCAUGUUUUGGGAAGAGGGACGGAGAAGGCUAGCCAAGCCAGAUGUUGGUUACUGGUUCAAGCGUUCGAGGCGUUGAGGAGCGGUGAAAACGUUCCGAGCUGAGGCGUGAGUACGAGCUGCUACGGCAGCGAAGUUGGUGACGUCAAGCUUCCAAGAAAAGCUCUAUACCCGUUAAGGCAUGACUGCCAGUACCCGAAACCGACACAGGUGGGGUGGUAGAGAAUACCGAGGUGCGCGAGGUAACUCUCUCUAAGGAACUCGGCAAAAUGGCCCCGUAACUUCGGGAGAAGGGGUGCCAGCGCGAGCUGGUCGCAGUGAAUAGGCCCAGGCGACUGUUUACCAAAAACACAGGUCUCCGCUAAGUCGCAAGACGAUGUAUGGGGGCUGACGCCUGCCCAGUGCCGGAAGGUUAAGGAAGCCGGUCAGCGUAAGCGAAGCUGGCGACUGAAGCCCCGGUGAACGGCGGCCGUAACUAUAACGGUCCUAAGGUAGCGAAAUUCCUUGUCGGG
This 1925-nucleotide ribosomal RNA is filed under the name marine metagenome. RNAcentral describes it as "bacterial LSU rRNA". It matches the Rfam family "Bacterial large subunit ribosomal RNA", at positions 3 to 1976 of the family's 2925-position model. The record is from RNAcentral.